AGGGUUUGAUCCUGGCUCAGAACGUACGCUGGCGGCACGCCUAACACAUGCAAGUCGAACGAAGUAGCAAUACUUAGUGGCAGACGGGUGAGUAACAUGUAGGAAUCUUCCCUUUGGCCUGGAAUAACACGAGGAAACUUGUGCUAAUACCGGAUAAGUCUUUACGGAGAAAGCUUUAUGCACCAUUGGAUGAGCCUGCACUUGAUUAGUUUGUUGGUGGGGUAAUGGCCUACCAAGACUGUGAUCAAUAGCUGAUUUGAGAGGAUGAUCAGCCACAUUGGGACUGAGACACGGCCCAAACUCCUACGGGAGGCAGCAGUGGGGAAUCUUGCACAAUGGAGGAAACUCUGAUGCAGCGAUGCCGCGUGAGUGAAGAAGGCCCUUGGGUUGUAAAGCUCUUUCGUCGGGGAAGAAAAUGACUGUACCCGAAUAAGAAGGUCCGGCUAACUUCGUGCCAGCAGCCGCGGUAAUACGAAGGGACCUAGCGUAGUUCGGAAUUACUGGGCUUAAAGAGUUCGUAGGUGGUUGAAAAAGUUGGUGGUGAAAUCCCAGAGCUUAACUCUGGAACUGCCAUCAAAACUUUUCAGCUAGAGUUUGAUAGAGGAAAGCAGAAUUUCUAGUGUAGAGGUGAAAUUCGUAGAUAUUAGAAAGAAUACCAAUUGCGAAGGCAGCUUUCUGGAUCAUUACUGACACUGAGGAACGAAAGCAUGGGUAGCGAAGAGGAUUAGAUACCCUCGUAGUCCAUGCCGUAAACGAUGUGUGUUAGACGUUGGAAAUUUAUUUUCAGUGUCGCAGCGAAAGCGAUAAACACACCGCCUGGGGAGUACGACCGCAAGGUUAAAACUCAAAUGAAUUGACGGGGACCCGCACAAGUAGUGGAGCAUGUGGUUUAAUUCGAAGAUACGCGCAGAACCUUACCAACACUUGACAUGUUCGUCGCGACUUUAAGAGAUUAAAGUUUUCGGUUCGGCCGGACGAAACACAGGUGCUGCAUGGCUGUCGUCAGCUCGUGUCGUGAGAUGUUGGGUUAAGUCCCGCAACGAGCGCAACCCUCACUUUUAGUUGCCAUCAUUUAGUUGGGCACUCUGAAAGAACUGCCAGUGAUAAGCUGGAGGAAGGUGGGGAUGACGUCAAGUCCUCAUGGCCCUUACGUGUUGGGCUACACACGUGCUACAAUGGUAUCUACAACAGGAAGCAAAACGGCGACGUUAAGCAAAUCCUUAAAAGAUACCUCAGUUCGGAUUGCACUCUGCAACUCGAGUGCAUGAAGCUGGAAUUACUAGUAAUCGUGGAUCAGCGUGCCACGGUGAAUGCGUUCCCGGGUCUUGUACACACCGCCCGUCACACCAUGGGAGUUGGUUCUACCUUAAGGCAAGGUUUAAUACCCUUGACCACGGUAUAGUCAGCGACUGGGGUGAAGUCAUAACAAGGUAGCCGUA
Molecule: ribosomal RNA, 1439 nt
Filed under: uncultured bacterium
Lineage: Bacteria
Description: bacterial SSU rRNA
Rfam family: Bacterial small subunit ribosomal RNA
Source: RNAcentral